Molecule: non-coding RNA, 3515 nt
Organism: Cyanistes caeruleus (blue tit)
Lineage: Eukaryota; Metazoa; Chordata; Aves; Passeriformes; Paridae
Source: RefSeq, a predicted model, not a curated record
AGCCGUGGGGCGUUCUGCCCUCGGCGAACGAGCGCUGUGUCCGGGCUCUCCGCCCCGACCGGCGCCGCUGCCGUGGCCCCCAGGGUCGGGCGGCCCUCUGACAGCUCCCGACAGCAGCGGGGGCGGCCCACAGCAGAGCCAGGCCCCUUUGGAUAGAGCGGAGCGGGGCCGCGCUGCCGCCGCAACUCAAACUCGGAGCCCAACUCGGAACAACUCCGUUGCCUGGAAACCACCGUCUGGCGCUGGAGCCUGACGGAACCGUGGAGCCAUUCAGGACUGCCGCAUGCUUACCCAGAUCUACAACUAUAAUGAAGGUUUGCUUUGUAGAGUUAAUACCAUCUCUCCUGGACUUUUCACUUUUCUUUAUGUGGCUGCACUGCAUGGAAAUGACCUGAAGUUUUCCAGUGUUGGGAGAAAUUUCACUCAAAACCAGAAGUGGACCUUUUUAUUAGUAUACGACAUUUUCUGUAUAGAAUUCUUUCAAUUCAUUGAUACCUAGUGUCUCUUUAUUUUUAUGUCUUCACUUUGUUUUGACUUCAAAUAGUUUAUGUCAUUGCUGUAUAUAUAUAUGACAAGCUGCUUCUUGGUAGAGCAUAGCUUUCAGAGUUGUUAACUGCUUGCUAGUAUCUUAUGAACAGUUAGCAAGGCUGAAGUACAUUGUCUGAAAUGAGGAAACUGAAUAAUUUGCAAAACCUUUAUAAGGAUUUAUUUUUGGAUUUACAAUAAUCUCUUUCCUCAAUCUUUUUUAUAGCUCAAAGAUUUAUAUAACUAUUGUUGGUGUAUUAUUCAGAACAGCAACCUAAACGUAAGGACAUUUUUAACGAAGUUUCUUACUAUGAGAAUUUAAAGACCACUUCCUGAGAAUUUAUCACAGACUACAGUUUGGGAUAUUCUCAUGCCCAGAUAAUCUCAGGUGAUGCCAUUAGACAGCAUAAAAUUACCACCAAAACCAAAGAAGCAAACUGAUUGAUAAUAAUCUAAUGCAUUUUUCUGAUAUCCAAAUCUGCCUUUUGGGAGUGCUAAUUAAAUAAAUAGUCACUGUACAUAAACAAAGCAUAAGCUAUAAUUCUCAAAAAACUUAUAAUUGUCUCAAGGUGUUUCACUUUACUUAACGGUGUAUGUUAUAUGUGGGGCACUCAUAAUCUAUUAGUUAUAAUUAGCCAAAUCUGAACUUGUAUCUUCUGUCUCAUGGCUUUGUACAUGUAUCCAUCUGCGUGAUGUCACCACAGUUGACCACAACUGACACACAGGUUUGCAUAAAUACCUUUCAUAUUUAUUUCUGGCUUUUAAUGUUAGGUUUUUACAACUGAGUAUACUGAUACUUUCUGACUGGACCUACUUUGUCAUAACCCUAGAUAAUGACAAUGUAACACUUAGUUUUGUCACCUUCAACUUAUGAUUAUUCAUAAAUUGUUCAAAGGAAAAGUAUACCAUGCAGAGUAAAACCCAAGGCAUACACUUCUAAAUCCUUGUGUUGUGCCAUAUGUCCCUGCAAUUAAUGUCAGUCUGCAAGGAUAGCCUUAUAUUGAGCCCCAAAAACUAUAAAUCAUAGAAAAUAAGAAAAUUAACUUCACCUUUUCUUUUGUUGUUGUUAUGUUAACUGUGUUACCAUGUUUGUCAAGUUGUAUGUUUAAGUUUUUAGGAAUUCUUUAUGUUCAUUUUUUCUGGUCCAGAAGAGAGAAAAAGAUGAGGAGAUGAGUUUGGUUGGGAAUGCCUCACUGGCCUAUGAGGAUAAUUUUAAUCUUGGGCCAUGGGAAGCGGACAUUUGUAUUAUGUUGGUGUUAAUGUUUAUUUUGUUCAGUUUCAUGCUGAUGAUUGUUCUAUUUUUGAGGAAACAGAGGGGGGGGGAAUUUCUCUUGUCCACUGCAGAGUGGCUCAGUUGGGGUGCAUGUGUUCUUAAUUUUUUUAAGAGUUCAUUUAUGGAGCCUAACCCCUCAAUAGUUGUCUGUUAAUUUCCUGGGGGAAGAGAUAUGCUUAUGUUUCCACAAGUAGAGGCCCACAGACAAAAACGUAAAGCCUGACCUGCCUGCAGCCACACUGUGAACAGCCACAAGAAGAAUCCCAGAAGAACCGGAGAUGGAAGUGGCUGAAAGAAGUACUUGGAAUAUUCAAGAUCCUGCUGCUCACUGAUGGUUGAUAGUCCGCUGCUGGAAGUAGAACAUUUGGGUGAUGCUGGCAAACAUCAUGAAGCAGGAGACCCUUUGUCUGCCAGUGGUCACCCCUUUCCUGCUGCUACCUCAACCAAAUGGUUAAAGAUUACACGGCUUCAAUUGCAUGUGCUGCUACUGAACACAGUCAGUCAAUACAUCAGAGCAUUCAAGUACUGAAGGAAGGAGUGAAGAAGUUACAAGUUGAAGUCCACUAGUUGAGUGGACUUUUUAAAAAGUGGGGUUUGUUGGGUUGGUUGCUAUCAUUAUAGUUUUGCUUGUUAUUGUAGAUAUUGUUGUUGUUAAUGUUACCUCGUUUAAUGACUUGUUUAUUGGGGACUGUCUGGAAGUCAUUACAAGCAAUUUUAAUUUUUCAACAGAGGAGUGGGAUAUGUGGAUAUGAGUAGUUAGGCAUCAAUUUAAGACCGUGGGAUGAUAGCAAACCUGUUCAUUUAAGGUUGUGCAUCCAGAGUGCUCUCAGUUCUCUCCUCUGAUUGGUUGUCAUUUGGUGACGCUGCACCCCGCGGCCUUUCAGGCCCAGGCUAGCUCUUCACCACUCGGCUGAUGGCAGCGCCAAGAGUGGGGAACGGUAUGGGAGUGAUUUUCCCAAUACCGAACCUUCAGAGCCUUCAGCACUCAGGCCCUGCGGGUCUCAGGCGUCGCGGGUCUCGGUGGAGGGAUGGAGGAGGCUCAGAGUCUCUUUUGCUUCCCAGGAACCAGGUUUAUUAGAGGAGAAGGGAGCGGUGACCAGGGAAAGGACUGGGACAACGAAACAGGAGAACAACUGGGCCCCGAGCACCUCCGUGCGUUGGGAUUUAACCAUGGAGAGGGUGCAACUCAGGAACCAAUCAGGGAGCACUUUGGGAGGAGUCAAAGGAGGGGUUUACAGAGCUUGGGACCAAUGGGAAAAAUACGUGUGUGGGGCGGCAAUUACAAAACCAAUCACGUAUUGAACAGGGGAUGAAAGGCAUGGAAGGUACUGGAAAAAGGGUAGGGUUUACAAUGAUGGGCAAGAAAAGGGGGCCAUAUAGGGAUGGCUGAUAGGGAAGGUUCAGGAAUAAAGGGAGGGGUUUACAAAGUUGACAACAGGGUAAAACCAUUAUAUAACCAUAGGGGGAAUAACAGGAACAUACCAACAGAUUAAACAAACAUAGUUAACAAAACAGAAGGCAACAAUUUGGUGCAUUAUUUUUAAUAUUCCUAGUCUCAGUCUGUUAUUGGAACCCUGUCUUCAUAUCUGCCCUCAGAUUUCCAUCUAUUUAUUGUUGCAUUCAUGUUUUUUGCACCUUUUGGGGUUGACCCUAUACUGUGUGUUUGCCUUUUGCUGUUUGUUAUUUUGCCAUUAAAGCAGUUUUACUUUUUGGGUUA